Molecule: long non-coding RNA, 707 nt
Organism: Manihot esculenta (cassava)
Lineage: Eukaryota; Viridiplantae; Streptophyta; Magnoliopsida; Malpighiales; Euphorbiaceae
Exons: 2
Source: RefSeq, a predicted model, not a curated record
AGCACAUAUAUUAAUAAGAAUAAAUAUAUAAAAAAUAAAACUUAAAAUAUAUAUAUAUAAAAAGUUAACAACUUUUUUUUUAUUGAACAUUUUAAAAAUAAAGGGUUGGAUAGUAAAAUACCUAAAAGGAGAGUAAGAGAAUAGUGAGAGAUUCAGAAAGAGAGAAUCAAAGAAUCAGAAAAGAGCAUCGCGAAAAGGAAUUAGGAUUUGAAGAAGGGUGUCGCAUCGUUUUCUUGUUUUUUGUUGGUUUGAUCGAUUUGUGGCGUUUCGUGUUCGUUGUCCUCAUAUUUUCCGUGCUGAAGUCAGCGAGAGAGCUGUUGCUAAAUCUGCGAUAGAGGACUUCGAUUUCAGCUACCGAAAGGAGGAUCUACACAUACAAGAUGUCGAUAACUCGGAACCACACCGCUACAUUCGAUGGCAACAGCUCCCAUUGACCUUCUUCGGCUGGAUAUGCGACAUCUCCUCCCUUAGUUUGUUGUUGUUAGUGUUCGUCUGUCAAUUGGCUAAAUUUCCUUUUUGUGUGUGCUUCUUCUUCGGUGUUUUGUUGAUUUUGCCUUUUAUCAACUCAAUGAUAACUGUGGUGAAAGGCCUGUUGUAGUGACUUUACUUGUUUAGGGCCGUCUUCGACUGUUUAAUUAUUUGUUUUCGAUUCGAGUUUGUUUGAUUUAAUUUAUUAUAUUUUAUUGUGUUGGUUUGUUUUCUUUGAA